RNAcentral lists this small nuclear RNA (298 nucleotides) under Erinaceus europaeus (western European hedgehog). RNAcentral describes it as "7SK RNA". It matches the Rfam family "7SK RNA". Rfam says of the family: 7SK was discovered as an abundant small nuclear RNA in the mid-70s but a possible function has only recently been suggested. Two independent studies have found that 7SK RNA binds the CDK9/cyclin T complex (known as elongation factor P-TEFb). The record is from Rfam by way of RNAcentral. Lineage: Eukaryota; Metazoa; Chordata; Mammalia; Eulipotyphla; Erinaceidae.
GGAUGUGAGGGUGAUCUGGCUGCAACAUCUGUCACCCCAUUGAUCGCCAGGGUUGAUUCGGCUGAUCUGGCUGGCUAGGCGGGUGUCCCCUUCCUCCCUCACCGCUCCACGUGCGUCCCUCCCGAAGCUGCGCGCUCAGUGGAAGAGGACGGCCUUCCCCGAAUAGAGACAGGUCUUCCGGUCGAGGGUAUACGAGUAGCUGCACUCCCCUGCUAGAACCUCCAAACAAGCUCUCAAGAAAAGAACCAGAAGGGACCAGGUGGUGGAGCAUCUGGUUGAGUGUACAUGUUACAGUGUG